RNAcentral lists this microRNA (23 nucleotides) under Pristionchus pacificus. Its description in RNAcentral is "ppc-miR-8291-3p". Lineage: Eukaryota; Metazoa; Nematoda; Chromadorea; Rhabditida; Neodiplogasteridae. The record is from miRBase by way of RNAcentral.
AAUAUCUCUAUCAAUCCUGAGGA